This 492-nucleotide ribosomal RNA is filed under the name uncultured bacterium. RNAcentral describes it as "partial 16S ribosomal RNA". It matches the Rfam family "Bacterial small subunit ribosomal RNA", at positions 29 to 507 of the family's 1533-position model. The record is from RNAcentral.
AGUGAACGCUGGCGGUAGGCCUAACACAUGCAAGUCGAACGGCAGCACAGUAAGAGCUUGCUCUUACGGGUGGCGAGUGGCGGACGGGUGAGGAAUACAUCGGAAUCUACUUUUUCGUGGGGGAUAACGUAGGGAAACUUACGCUAAUACCGCAUACGACCUACGGGUGAAAGCAGGGGAUCUUCGGACCUUGCGCGAUUGAAUGAGCCGAUGUCGGAUUAGCUAGUUGGCGGGGUAAAGGCCCACCAAGGCGACGAUCCGUAGCUGGUCUGAGAGGAUGAUCAGCCACACUGGAACUGAGACACGGUCCAGACGCCUACGGGAGGCAGCAGUGGGGAAUAUUGGACAAUGGGCGCAAGCCUGAUCCAGCCAUACCGCGUGGGUGAAGAAGGCCUUCGGGUUGUAAAGCCCUUUUGUUGGGAAAGAAAAGCAGCAGGUUAAUACCCCGCUGUUCUGACGGUACCCAAAGAAAAAGCACCGGCUAACUUCGUG